AUUGAACGCUGGCGGCAUGCCUUACACAUGCAAGUCGAACGGCAACAGGUCUUCGGAUGCUGACGAGUGGCGAACGGGUGAGUAAUACAUCGGAACGUGCCCGAUCGUGGGGGAUAACGAGGCGAAAGCUUUGCUAAUACCGCAUACGAUCUACGGAUGAAAGCGGGGGAUCUUCGGACCUCGCGCGGACGGAGCGGCCGAUGGCAGAUUAGGUAGUUGGUGGGAUAAAAGCUUACCAAGCCGACGAUCUGUAGCUGGUCUGAGAGGAUGAUCAGCCACACUGGGACUGAGACACGGCCCAGACUCCUACGGGAGGCAGCAGUGGGGAAUUUUGGACAAUAGGCGAAAGCCUGAUCCAGCCAUGCCGCGUGCAGGAUGAAGGCCUUCGGGUUGUAAACUGCUUUUGUACGGAACGAAAAGCCUCUUUCUAAUAAAGAGGGGUCAUGACGGUACCGUAAGAAUAAGCACCGGCUAACUACGUG
This 482-nucleotide ribosomal RNA is filed under the name uncultured bacterium. RNAcentral's name for it is "partial 16S ribosomal RNA". It matches the Rfam family "Bacterial small subunit ribosomal RNA", at positions 30 to 507 of the family's 1533-position model. The record is from RNAcentral.